This 453-nucleotide ribosomal RNA is filed under the name uncultured bacterium. RNAcentral describes it as "bacterial SSU rRNA". It matches the Rfam family "Bacterial small subunit ribosomal RNA", at positions 340 to 786 of the family's 1533-position model. The record is from RNAcentral.
UACGGAAGGCAGCAGUGGGGAAUAUUGCACAAUGGGCGCAAGCCUGAUGCAGCCAUGCCGCGUGUAUGAAGAAGGCCUUCGGGUUGUAAAGUACUUUCAGUCGUGAGGAAGGUGUUAAGGUUAAUAACCUUAGCAAUUGACGUUAGCGACAGAAGAAGCACCGGCUAACUCCGUGCCAGCAGCCGCGGUAAUACGGAGGGUGCGAGCGUUAAUCGGAAUUACUGGGCGUAAAGGGCACGCAGGCGGUUAAUUAAGUUGGAUGUGAAAUCUCCGGGCUUAACCUGGGAAUGGCAUUCAAGACUGGUUAGCUAGAGUCUUGUAGAGGGGGUAGAAUUCCAUGUGUAGCGGUGAAAUGCGUAGAGAUGUGGAGGAAUACCGGUGGCGAAGGCGGCCCCUGGACAAAGACUGACGCUCAUGUGCGAAAGCGUGGGGAGCAAACAGGGAUUAGAUACC